UAUACAACAUUUUUUUGUUAAACGAUUAAUAAAUAUAUUGGAAACUAGAAUCUAUUCCAAUAUGUAUUACAAGAAAAAAAAACUUUUUUGAACAAGUGCCAUGACUAGUAUUGACAUAAGAUCGAUAACAUCUCGGGGAUUUUGAAAAUAAAUUAGUUCAUUAUUUUGAUAUUGUUUAUAUUUUUCAUUUUAUGAGUAAUAAAAAAAGUGAUACAAAAAAAUAAUGAAUAUAGAACACUGAUAUCGGUAUAAACAUUUGGUAUAUUCAAAGAGAAGUUAAUUAAAUUAGUGUAACCAAACGAUCGGCUAUAUCAACGUAAGGGGAACGAUUAAAAUAAAACUAAUGUUUUCCCGACUUUGUACAGGAGUUGUUUUUGAAGAUACGUCAUACACUACUGUCUAUACAUACCCAAUAUAUUUUUUUUUAUCUUAACCUCAACAAAAAUGAAAUAAGGGUUGCCAUGACAAAAUGAACAGAAACGAUAUCUAAAAUAAGGAGCUAUGGAAAUAAGCCGUUGUAAUUCUAUAGAAAUAUGUAUUUAGUUUACUAGUAAUUUAGUUCAUCGAUAAGAAAAACAAAUCAAGUACCAAUACGAAGAAUAUCUAGAUUACUUCAAUUGAUAACCUUUUGGAAUAAGUCAAUUCGAAAGAUCGUGAGUUUACGUGGAUAGUACCUACAUGUACGGGAUUUUAAAAGAAUAACAUAAUUUUAAUAAGUUGACGUGAUAUCCCGAUAUAGUCUUAAGUUAUCUACAGUAACAACCAAAGUUUUGCUGGUUAUACUGAGUAUUGUACAGGUACCACUCCAAACUUCCAAACUAAAUCAAAGUAGAUAUAGAAAGAUGUGGUAUGAGUGCCAAUGAGACAAUCCCUCCAUCCAAGUAACAAUUUAUAAAAGCAAACCAUUAAAGGUCAAGGUACGGCAUCAAACACGGAGCCAGCAAGCUAAAAAGGGCACCAAAAAUUACUAGUGUAAAACAAUUAAAACGGGAAAACCAACGGUCCAAUCUAUAUAAAAGUAUCAUUCAGAAUCAACCAAAUGUCUUAAGCAAUGAAAUUAUUGAAAACGAUUUUUCUGCAUGAGAUGCACAUUUCGACAAUAAAUGUCUCUUCAGUGAUACGCGAAUUUGAGAUUUAGAAGGUGCGUUUUCAAGAACCUUUAUUGUUAAUCGGUCAUAUAUAGACACAAGUUCAUUGUCGAAAAAAGUUACAGAAAAGGAAAAAAAUAAAUACUGUUGAAAUAUCUAGAUAUUUUAAAUAUUAUUUCAUAAAUUUUUCAAACAGAAGAUAAGAUUUUCAACUUAGAUGAAAGUGUGUAAGGAACGUCAUGAAACUAGUGCAAUAAAUUAUUGGAUGCUACUAAGAAACAUAUUUGAAAUAUUGAAAUACCUUUUAAUCGAUAAAAGAAAUGUUUAAGAAAUCACUAUUAUUUGGACUGUUAGAUAUCUUAUUCAGGACGGAACAUGAUGACAUUUUACAGAUAGUUUUCAGAAUUAAUCACAGAUCGCAAAUAUCUUACAAUUGAUUAAGAAAUUAAAAAUCUGAUAUGCCUAAAGACAGAUCAUAAGGAAUAACAACAAACUGAAUAUAUCUUUGUAAACAGUAAAUAAUAAAAUUG
Molecule: long non-coding RNA, 1618 nt
Filed under: Mytilus galloprovincialis (Mediterranean mussel)
Lineage: Eukaryota; Metazoa; Mollusca; Bivalvia; Mytilida; Mytilidae
Source: RNAcentral